UUGAUCCUGCCGGAGGGUUACUGCUAUCGAGGUUCGACUAAGCCAUGCGAGUCGAAUGUAGCAAUACAUGGCGUACUGCUCAGUAACACGUGGACAACCUACCCUUAGGUCGGGGAUAAACCCGGGAAACUGGGUAUAAUACCCGAUAGAUCUCGACUGCUGGAAUGCAUCGAGAUCGAAAGCUCCGGCGCCUAAGGAUGGGUCUGCGGCCUAUCAGGUAGUAGUGGGUGUAGCGUACCUACUAGCCUACGACGGGUACGGGUUGUGAGAGCAAGAGCCCGGAGAUGGAUUCUGAGACACGAAUCCAGGCCCUACGGGGUGCAGCAGGCGCGAAAACUUUACAAUGCUGGAAACAGCGAUAAGGGGACCUCGAGUGCCAGGUUACAAAUCUGGCUGUCGUGAUGCCUAAAAAGCAUUGCAUAGCAAGGGCCGGGCAAGACCGGUGCCAGCCGCCGCGGUAACACCGGCGGCUCGAGUGGUAACCGUUAUUAUUGGGUCUAAAGGGUCUGUAGCCGGCCGGAUAAGUCUCUUGGGAAAUCCAGCAGCUCAACUGUUGGGCUUUCAGGAGAUACUGUCUGGCUCGAGGCCGGGAGAGGUGAGAGGUACUUCAGGGGUAGGGGUGAAAUCUUGUAAUCCUUGAAGGACCACCAGUGGCGAAGGCGUCUCACCAGAACGGACCUGACGGCAAGGGACGAAAGCUAGGGGCACGAACCGGAUUAGAUACCCGGGUAGUCCUAGCCGUAAACGAUACUCGCUAGGUGUCGGCCACGGUGCGACCGUUGUCGGUGCCGUAGGGAAGCCGUGAAGCGAGCCACCUGGGAAGUACGGGCCGCAAGGCUGAAACUUAAAGGAAUUGGCGGGGGAGCACCACAACGGGUGGAGCUUGCGGUUUAAUUGGAUUCA
RNAcentral lists this ribosomal RNA (903 nucleotides) under uncultured archaeon. Its description in RNAcentral is "bacterial SSU rRNA". It matches the Rfam family "Archaeal small subunit ribosomal RNA", at positions 8 to 914 of the family's 1478-position model. The record is from RNAcentral.